RNAcentral lists this long non-coding RNA (864 nucleotides) under Homo sapiens (human). RNAcentral's name for it is "non-protein coding lnc-ATOX1-2:1". Lineage: Eukaryota; Metazoa; Chordata; Mammalia; Primates; Hominidae. The record is from RNAcentral.
GAGCUCUGAGUGGUUUCCUGUUGCCUGUCUCUAAACCCCUCCACAUUCCCGCGGUCCUUCAGACUGCCCGGAGAGCGCGCUCUGCCUGCCGCCUGCCUGCCUGCCACUGAGGGUUCCCAGCACCAUGAGGGCCUGGAUCUUCUUUCUCCUUUGCCUGGCCGGGAGGGCCUUGGCAGCCCCUCAGCAAGAAGCCCUGCCUGAUGAGACAGAGGUGGUGGAAGAAACUGUGGCAGAGGUGACUGAGGUAUCUGUGGGAGCUAAUCCUGUCCAGGUGGAAGUAGGAGAAUUUGAUGAUGGUGCAGAGGAAACCGAAGAGGAGGUGGUGGCGGAAAGUAUGUCCCUUCCCUGUAACUUGGCACAUCCAAGCUGCCCUUGGCUGCCUGGGCCUGGGGCACGAGGACAGCCUACAUGAGGCUCCUUCCAGCAGAAAUGCAGGGUGGGGUCCUCAGUGGGCUAUGAAGGAAACACGGCUUUGACUUAACAAGUGGGAAACUGUGGCACUCAGUCCCCUGGGAUCUGGGCAAGAUCGGUUUCCAGGCCAUCCAUGUGUGUGGUAGGAAGGAGAGUUCUCCAGCUGGAAAUGGGCUUCUCCCCUCAUAGCUCUUUGCCCUGAGUCCAAAGCUGAGUUUCCCAGUCCCACGGAGGUCGCUGAUCACAUCUGGUCACCGAAAUCUCCCAUUGCUUCUGUAUCAGCCCGUGCCCCACAGAGAAGUAGAACUGAGAGAAGAGAUCAGGAACUUGCACACUCAUAAGCUCAUUCUAUUUCACACAGUCCAAGGAAACGAGGUCCUGAGGAAAUGCAACCUGACAUAAUCCGUACCAUGCUAUCCAUGCGUUAGUGCCCUGGGAGAGAAAUGACCUAGG